Molecule: ribosomal RNA, 496 nt
Filed under: uncultured bacterium
Lineage: Bacteria
Description: partial 16S ribosomal RNA
Rfam family: Bacterial small subunit ribosomal RNA
Source: RNAcentral
GAUGAACGCUGGCGGCGUGCCUAAUACAUGCAAGUCGAGCGAACAGACGAGGAGCUUGCUCCUCUGACGUUAGCGGCGGACGGGUGAGUAACACGUGGAUAACCUACCUAUAAGACUGGGAUAACUUCGGGAAACCGGAGCUAAUACCGGAUAAUAUAUUGAACCGCAUGGUUCAAUAGUGAAAGACGGUUUUGCUGUCACUUAUAGAUGGAUCCGCGCCGCAUUAGCUAGUUGGUAAGGUAACGGCUUACCAAGGCAACGAUGCGUAGCCGACCUGAGAGGGUGAUCGGCCACACUGGAACUGAGACACGGUCCAGACUCCUACGGGAGGCAGCAGUAGGGAAUCUUCCGCAAUGGGCGAAAGCAUGACGGAGCAACGCCGCGUGAGUGAUGAAGGUCUGCGGAUCGUAAAACUCUGUUAUUAGGGAAGAACAAAUGUGUAAGUAACUAUGCACGUCUUGACGGUACCGAAGCAGAAAGCCACGGCUAACUACGG